CCAAUCAGCUUCCUGCUCAUACAUGGUCCACGUGUUCCUCCAGCCAAUCACAAUAUCACGUCCAAUGCCUGACUCCACUCCCGGCUCCUCUCGCCCUUUAAGGGACUGCCCCAUCCGGCCUGUGGCUGUACAUUUCCACUGGGCCUUCUGCUUACCAGAUGUCUGCUGGAAAUACAACAGUGGAGAGAAAAGAGUCUAUGAGAUUCCUGGAGUGCAUGGAAGAGAACUGCCUGACACAGUUGGAAAGUGAGACAACCAGGGAAGCUGCUCUGCUGGACUUGCUGUUUGUGAGCAGAGAUGGACUGGUGGGGGUCAUGACCGCUGAAGCCAUCUGGACACAGUGAUGAAGAAGUGACAGAGUUUUUGAUACUGGAGAAAUAAGGAAGGAGGACAGCAGAACUGCCACCCUGCAUUUCUGGAGAGCAGACUUGGGUCUGUUUAGGAGACUGAUUGAGAGUCCCUUGGGAAGCAGUCCUGAGAGGCGAAGGGGUCCAGGAAGGCUGAACAUUCUUCAAGAAGGAAAUCGUCAAGGCACAAGAACAGGCUGUCCCCAUGUGCUGAAAGACAAGCUGGUGAGGAAGAGACUGGCCUGGCUGCACAGAGAAAUUUGGCUGGAACUCAGGGAGGAAAAGAGCAUUUAUCACCUCUGGAAAAAGGGGCAGGGAACUCAGGAGGACUAUGAGGAUGUUGGGAGGUUAGGCAGGGAGAAAGUUAGAAGGGCCAAAGCCCAGCCAGAAAUUUAUCUGUCCCAUGCUGUAAGAGAUAAAUGGAUAGUUUUCUACAGAUACAUUAUGAAAUAAAUGGGCAGGAGAUCUUU
This is a long non-coding RNA of Passer domesticus (house sparrow), 817 nucleotides long. RefSeq lists it as uncharacterized. The transcript has 2 exons. The record is from RefSeq and is a predicted model, not a curated record. Lineage: Eukaryota; Metazoa; Chordata; Aves; Passeriformes; Passeridae.